RNAcentral lists this ribosomal RNA (440 nucleotides) under uncultured bacterium. Its description in RNAcentral is "bacterial SSU rRNA". It matches the Rfam family "Bacterial small subunit ribosomal RNA", at positions 338 to 795 of the family's 1533-position model. The record is from RNAcentral.
CCUANGGGGGGCUGCAGUAACGAAUCUUCCGCAAUGCACGAAAGUGUGACGGAGCGACGCCGCGUGUAGGACGAAGCCCUUCGGGGUGUAAACUACUGUCAGGGGUUAGAAAGUUCUGAUCAACCCCAGAGGAAGGGACGGCUAACUCUGUGCCAGCAGCCGCGGUAAGACAGAGGUCCCGAGCGUUAGGCGGAAUCACUGGGCUUAAAGCGUGUGUAGGCGGAUCGUUAAGUGCCUUGUGAAAUCCCACGGCUUAACCGUGGAACUGCUUGGCAUACUGGCGGUCUUGAGCCACUUAGGGGCAACUGGAACAAAUGGUGGAGCGGUGAAAUGCGUAGAUAUCAUUUGGAACGCCAAUGGUGAAAACAGGUUGCUGGGAGUGUGCUGACGCUGAGACACGAAAGCCAGGGGAGCGAACGGGAUUAGAUACCCGGNUANUC